Molecule: long non-coding RNA, 313 nt
Filed under: Elaeis guineensis (African oil palm)
Lineage: Eukaryota; Viridiplantae; Streptophyta; Magnoliopsida; Arecales; Arecaceae
Description: long non-coding RNA (EGUI_LNC054581)
Source: RNAcentral
UGGCCAAUUUGAUUGGUGUCUAAGGAAAGCAAUGGGGGGACCCCCACUCAUCUUAACUUAUCUAGCCAUCUUGAGAGAUUCAGUUUCAUGCUAGGUUACUUGUUGACUCGAGUUCACCCAUGCCAACUAGACUGGUUAGAUAUAUAGAUGUAUUGACCUGAAUUUGAUUAGUUGGAUGCUGCAUCUGUUGAUUUAGAAGAGACCUAAACCUAAAUCUCCUCACUAAAUAUUAAGUCUAGAGGUCUUCCAUUGUUGAAGAGAUAUGGGUGUCUUUCUGACGUUGAUUGUUCUCGACUGGUUAUAGUGGUUCGGU